This 253-nucleotide ribosomal RNA is filed under the name uncultured bacterium. Its description in RNAcentral is "partial 16S ribosomal RNA". It matches the Rfam family "Bacterial small subunit ribosomal RNA", at positions 524 to 776 of the family's 1533-position model. The record is from RNAcentral.
UACAGAGGGGGCAAGCGUUGUUCGGAAUUACUGGGCGUAAAGGGCGCGUAGGCGGCCUGCUAAGUCGAACGUGAAAUCCCCGGGCUCAACCCGGGAACUGCGUCCGAUACUGGUUGGCUUGAAUCCGGGAGAGGGAUGCGGAAUUCCAGGUGUAGCGGUGAAAUGCGUAGAUAUCGUGAGGAACACCAGAGGCGAAGGCGGCUACCUGGACAAUUGCUGACGCUCAGGCACGAAAGCGUGGGGAGCAAAAGGG